Molecule: long non-coding RNA, 928 nt
Organism: Physella acuta
Lineage: Eukaryota; Metazoa; Mollusca; Gastropoda; Physidae
Source: RefSeq, a predicted model, not a curated record
UAAUUAUUGUCUUUUCUUAAAUUCUAAUAAAUCAGUGAGUUGUACAACAUAGAGGGUAUUAUAUUUGAAUGAUAAUUGAAACACAUAUUGUUAUAGAGCUCAAAACUAUGUACUUAUCUAAUAUAAUUAAUAUACUGAAACAGUUUUAUUGAAGCAUAUUAUUUCAUAUUUUACCACACAGAGACUGAUGUGUAAGCUUAAAGUAAAGACAUCAAAUCAAAGUAUCAGCUAUCAAGAGGAAGAACAUUCAAAAUCAUAUUGUGAUACACAAAUCAAGCAAGUCUAUAACCAGCAAUAUGAUACAGGCCAAGAAAAAGCUGGAUAUUUGAUUGGAAGGGUGGCACAAAAAAGAUGGGUUAUCACUAGGGAAACAAGCUCGGAAUACAGUUCACUGUUGGGACAUCAAGCCAAAUACUUCUAAACUUAUUUGAAUCAUUUUUGCUGUUUAUUAUAAUUCAUCCAAUUGUCUUAUUAAAUAUAUAAAUUUAUAUAUAUACACAAUUCCUAAUAUAGAAUUUCUAAAAAUGUUUUAUUAUAAUAUUUAAAAAUGAAACAAACAUGUUCCCAGAACACAGCCACAUAAUUUCAACAUGUUCCCAGAACACACAAAAUGUCAACAUGUUCCCAGAACACAGCCAAAUAAUGGCAACAUGUUCCCAGAACACAGCCAAACAAUGUCAACAUGUUCCAUGAACUCACAAAAUGGCAACAUGUUCCCAGAACACACAAAAUGUCAUUAUGUGCCCAGAACACACAAAAUGGCAACAUGUUCCCAGAACACACAAAAUGGCAACAUGUGUCGAGAACACAAAAAAUGACAACAUGUGCCGUUAACAAUACUUCACUUUUUCCUUAACAAUUUUACAAGCAGGUAAUAAAGCCAUAAAUCUUUACUGUGGAUAUAGCCAAUAAAUAGGGUAACCUUCAC